Molecule: long non-coding RNA, 462 nt
Filed under: Coccomyxa subellipsoidea
Lineage: Eukaryota; Viridiplantae; Chlorophyta; Trebouxiophyceae; Coccomyxaceae
Description: long non-coding RNA (CSUB_LNC000474)
Source: RNAcentral
UCCAAGUCCACCACAAAACUGAAUACUAGAGAGAGGUUGAGGAUCAUACUCUGCGCUCAGAUCAUCGGUACCAAUCGCAUUCUGUUGCGCUCCAUAUUUUUUUAGUUGGUUUACUGGAAUCGGUGUUGCUCCUGUUUACUGAGACAGUGCAUAGGCCAGACGAUCAUUAGUACCUUGCAAAAUCACCUGCAGCUGUGUUGAGGACGACCUGGAGUGCAAGCCAACGCAGGCCAAUACUACUUAGCCGUCAGGAUGAGCUAGUAAGGCACUGCGCAGAAGGGUCCGGCUUUCAUGCUGAGGCACUCAAACACCAGGCACUCGUGUAGCCGCCUUCUCUCCUAUCUCCAUCCGGGCUCUGCAGCCUUCCAAGAAUCCGCUGCUUGUAGGGCUCGCGGGAUCCUUCCCUCCACCAGACUCUUCAGUGCGGCUCCAGCGCCUGAGGAGGAGCUUCGCCACGACUCG